This 348-nucleotide unclassified non-coding RNA is filed under the name soil metagenome. Its description in RNAcentral is "partial contains 5.8S ribosomal RNA, internal transcribed spacer 2, and large subunit ribosomal RNA". The stretch from base 1 to 120 matches the Rfam family "5.8S ribosomal RNA", at positions 35 to 154 of the family's 154-position model. The record is from RNAcentral.
GAUGAAGAACGCAGCGAAAUGCGAUAAGUAAUGUGAAUUGCAGAAUUCAGUGAAUCAUCGAAUCUUUGAACGCACAUUGCGCCCGCCAGUAUUCUGGCGGGCAUGCCUGUCCGAGCGUCAUUUCAACCCUCGAACCCCUCCGGGGGGUCGGCGUUGGGGAUCGGCCCUUUACCGGCCGGCCCCGAAAUACAGUGGCGGUCUCGCCGCAGCCUCUCCUGCGCAGUAGUUUGCACACUCGCACCGGGAGCGCGGCGCAGUCCAAUGCCGUAAAACACCCAACUUUCUGAAAUGUUGACCUCGGAUCAGGUAGGAAUACCCGCUGAACUUAAGCAUAUCAAUAACGGAGGA